CCUACGGGAGGCAGCAGUAAGGAAUCUUCCACAAUGGACGAAAGUCUGAUGGAGCAACGCCGCGUGCAGGAUGAAGGCUUUCGGGUCGUAAACUGCUUUUAUAUGGGAAGAUUAUGACGGUACCAUAUGAAUAAGGACCGGCUAACUACGUGCCAGCAGCCGCGGUAAUACGUAGGGUCCAAGCGAUAUCCGGAAUUACUGGGCGUAAAGCGUGUGUAGGUGGAUUAAUAAGUGUGAUGCGAAAUCCGGCGGCUCAACCGUUUGGACUGUGCCGCAUACUGUUAGUCUAGAGGACGGCAGAGGUAAGUGGAAUUACGGGUGUAGCAGUGAAAUGCGUAGAUAUCCGUAGGAACACCAAUGGCGAAGGCAGCUUACUGGGCCACACCUGACACUGAGACACGGAAGCGUGGGGAGCGAACAGGAUUAGAUACCCUGGUAGUCCACGCCGUAAACGAUGCAUACUAUUAGUAUGGGGUAUCGACCCCCUGUGCUGAGAAGCUAACGCGAUAAGUAUGCCGCCUGGGGAGUACGAGCGCAAGCUUAAAACUCAAAUUGUAUUAGAGNGNGNGNGNGCGAGACGACGACGAGGAGAGG
This 594-nucleotide ribosomal RNA is filed under the name uncultured bacterium. RNAcentral describes it as "bacterial SSU rRNA". It matches the Rfam family "Bacterial small subunit ribosomal RNA", at positions 338 to 946 of the family's 1533-position model. The record is from RNAcentral.